UCGGUCGAUAUUGUUGCUUAGUCAACAAUAUAUGUCAUAUUAUAGCAAAGUAGUAUAACACAAUACAAUAUAAUAAAAUAAUAAAAGCAUUAUAUUCGUACAUUUUUCAGUUUUAUCCCUGGUUUUCCCAGUUAUUAUGAAAACCACUUGCAACGCUUGGAAAAUAUACGAAAAAUUAUCAAAAAUUACAAAGGUAACAACUGUUUAUUUUGUCGUCUCGAGUGUCGUGAAAUUUCCUCUUGAAAAAUAUACAACGAGUGCAUUCGAUCGACAUACUUAUUUUUUUACUAUAUAGAAUCAAUAAAAAAGAAAAGAGCUAAUUC
Molecule: non-coding RNA, 323 nt
Organism: Cinara cedri
Lineage: Eukaryota; Metazoa; Arthropoda; Insecta; Hemiptera; Aphididae
Source: the annotation of a GenBank genome assembly